CGUCGUCCCGGCAACCCAAAGGCGUCGGAUUAUGUCGCAACUCGUGUAUGUCUACAGGCUUGUUUUAAAGUGGGUUUGGAGAGGGGACUAACAGAAAGUAUAAUAUUUGGACAAGCAAUUGUUUAGGUUCUGUUCUCCCAAGCAGUGCCUUGUGCAUACCUCAGAAGCUGCAUAUAUCAUUGCCUGUCAGAGUUCACACAUCGGGAACAUAUGGAGUACUCUGCUACACUUUUGACCCCAGCUCUGGCUUACACUUCUGACCUGUGUUGCUAAGCACUCAGUCCCAUUCCCUCCAGCAUCAAGGGGCCCAGUAGAAGAUAAGAUAGAAGAAAACAAAGGGAGAGACUUCCUGUUGAUGUCGCGGCGAGAACUGCUGGAAAAUAGUAGACUCAGCCGUGCCUUGCGAAAUCCAGCUGGUAACCGCUGUUGGGAGACCCAUGGGGUCAUAGCUGCCUUGUAGGGGCAGUAAAGGAAGGAGAGGCGCUUUGUUGACCACGAAGAACUGGCAAUUUCCUCAUUAGGUCCAAAGCAAGCUCUCCCAAAUGGCAGCAGGGACAAUGGCCAUUUUUGGCAGUCACAAAGCUGGGACAACAGACUGUAAGAUUUGUGCUGGAACGGUUCGCGGACAGAGCAUUGAAACUGAGUGAGAUAAUUACCAUCUGAUUUAAGUACAAGAAUUCUAAAAAAGAACUUCCAAGCCUAAGCAAGCGGCAAGGGAAAAAAACUGAAAAUCAAGAGGCGAAAGAAGCCCAAGGGAAGCUUUAAAACACAGAAAACCUGAAAAACAGCUUAAACAAUUUAAAAGGUGAUUUUCGGAAGAAACGCUCAUGUUUAUUUGUAUUUCUAAACUUUCUAGAUUUAUCAAUAAUCAGCCGUUUUUGACAGAUUGUUUAACAUUGGAUUUGGGAAUAAGAGAGCCAUCUACUGGAAGAGGAGUACUACACCACUAAAGCCGCAGUAUACCCAGUGAAAGUGAACUCAAUAAAAAUACAGUCUAAUACACAAAAUAAAAGCUGUUACUUCUUACAAGCCUCUGCUUAAGUCCUUCUCUUUGGUUCCAUGUUGACUUAAGUGCAUCUCUGAACCUUACAAUGUGUUUAUUAGUAAGAGCUGCAGGUCACGCUUGUGUAUUUAUCUAUUGUGCAUUGAUUAAAUGUGUUAAGAGUUGCAGAUGGUGCUUGGGUAUAGUUAUGUAUUAAGCAUUGAUUAAGUUGCAAAUCAUAUGUGUGUUUAUGUAGUAUGCUUAUAUUAAAUUAGUAAGAAUUGCAGUU
Molecule: long non-coding RNA, 1271 nt
Organism: Thamnophis sirtalis
Lineage: Eukaryota; Metazoa; Chordata; Lepidosauria; Squamata; Natricidae
Source: RefSeq, a predicted model, not a curated record